Long non-coding RNA from Anthonomus grandis grandis, 2178 nucleotides. RefSeq lists it as uncharacterized. NCBI's taxonomy places the organism in Eukaryota, Metazoa, Arthropoda, Insecta, Coleoptera, Curculionidae. The transcript is spliced from 2 exons. The record is from RefSeq and is a predicted model, not a curated record.
CGUGGCCAUUAUAUUAGUUUUGGUUAUUGAAACCGCAUGUAUCCAACCCAGAUACAUGGGAGAUAUAUUUGACAACACUGCUUGAAUAUGAAGCCGGACGCAUCGCGGUUGCGCGCCUUUAGUUAUUUUACUUGCCAACCGUUGUUUGUUGUGCCUGUCGUCUGUCAGUUCUUGGAAACUGUAAACAUUCGUUGCUCUUAACACGUGCGCAUGAUUACUUUAGUACUUUAAUUGCAGUAGUUUUAUUAUCAUCGCCGAUAGUGGUUUGCUGUGUGUUAUUUUUCAAAAUAACGUACGAAGAAGAACAAGCUAAAUUAGAGAAAAUGAUGCAGGAAAUUCUCUCUGAACAUGAAGAUUCUGUAUUCGGUGACGUUUAUUUGUCAGACGAGUAUCAACCCGAAAGCGGAAACUUAAGCAGUGACUCAUCUACUUUAUCUAUUACACCUAAGCGACGUAAAAAAAUGCAAUCCCUCAACAACCAAUUUAUGUCCUCAACCCAGUACAAGCAAAGGUGUAGCCACUAAUGUGGGUUUGGAAACUCAGCAAUCCAGUCCAGAUCGUACACGUACCUUGAUGUCUUCAGAUGACGAAGCAACCUCCAAUUUUCCCACGCAUGAUAAUGCUACCAGCCAGAUUUUACAAACGAUAGAGGAUGUGAUAAGAAACUUUCGAUUACACACCACGUCAUAUUCAGAAGACGAUGAAGAUAUUAAAGCUUCUGAUAACCAACCAGCCUGGAAUCCAGUUACAGGUAUGAAUUUGAAAAAAAUUUCGUUUAUGGAGAAUGAUCCUCGCGUAAAACUGGAAUUUCAUGACCAGUUUUUUGAUAAAAAUCCAUAUAAUUUUGAUAAACUUAUGGUACCUGCCUAAGUUAUAAAUCAUAUAGUCAUUGAAACAAAUCCUUAUGCAGCACAAUCUAAAAACAAAAAUAUUAAACGAAAGUCCAGAAUACAGAAAUGGGCGGACACCAAUUCGGAAGAAAUUGAAAGGUUCAUUGGUAUAAUUAUGUGGAUGGGACUAUUUCAGCUGCCAAGUAUCCAAGCAUAUUGGCAGACAUCUUUUUUGUACUUCAAUAAAGUAGCAGAAACAGAUUCCAGCUGCUGCUAAAAAUGCCUCAUUUUAACGAUAAUGAAGGUGUUGUUCAAAAUCGUCUUCAUAAAAUAGACCCACUUCUCAAAAAACCCAUAACCAGUUUUCAAGCACCUAUUAUACCUGAUAAUGAGGUAUGUAUUAACGAGGCUCUCGUCCCCUUUAGAGGACGUCUCUCAUUCCGACAGUACAUAAAAAACAAGAAAAUUGUGUGUCUCCAAGGGAUAUACCUAUAACCUCAGUGUAUAUUGUGGUGCUGAAAAAAAAAGGGUAUGCCUGUGUCUACUGCAGUUAUAAUGUCUCUUAUGAAUAACUUACUUGAUAAAGGACGAACUCUAUAUACAGACAGUUACUACACCGGUGUCGGGUUAGUUUAUUGUCUGACAAAACGAAAAACUCACUUAGUUGGAACGCUGCGUGCAAACCGAAAACUCAGUAAAAAACUUCCAAAGAACGAAGUUGUUGCAGCCGAAAGUGACACUGGUGUAGUAGUUCUGAAAUGGAAAGAUAAACGUGACGUCUUGGUUCUGAGUAUUAAAUAUAUAGACAAACAAGUAACUGUUAGACAAAAAUGUGGCGAAGUUCAAAAACCUGAAAUUAUAGCCGACUAUAAUAAAUGUAAGGCGUUUAUUGACCUAUCUGACCAGAUGAAGUCAUAUGGAACAUCAUUGAGGCGAGGAGUAAAGUGGUACAGAAAAUUAGCUAUAGAGUUACUAGCGGGAACUGCAGUCGUAAAUGCCUACAUUUUGCACCAAGAAGUUGCCAACGAAAAUAAUCAGGUGAAACAUAUUUUGGUAGAAAGUCAUGGUGCUGAACGAAAAAGAGGUCGAUGUGUCCACUGUUACAAAAAAAAAUCUGAAAAGGUUGGGAGUAAAUUAGCGGCUAAACAAGCGACUCAAAGUAAAUUUAGGUGUCAAGUUUGUAAGAAAUUUUAUUGUUUAUCUUGUUUUUUUUGAAACUCACACUUGCCUUAAGUGAAUAAGCCACAUUUUCUGUGUUAACUUGUUUUGUUUUAUUACGUUUAAUUUCAUGUUUUAGUUUAAUUCAUAUUUAUUAAAUUUAUGUGAAUAAACCACAUUUUUCUAUGUA